This 261-nucleotide long non-coding RNA is filed under the name Populus tremula. Its description in RNAcentral is "long non-coding RNA (PTRE_LNC000046)". Lineage: Eukaryota; Viridiplantae; Streptophyta; Magnoliopsida; Malpighiales; Salicaceae. The record is from RNAcentral.
GACUUCACCGACUCCAGCAUCAGUUGCAUCUGAAACCAAGUAAAAAAAAUGAUGAAAAGAGCAGUAGUGAGACUUUACGAGGUAGCAUUGUGCAGGUGAAUGAAUGUGCCCAGAAAUACAAAUAUACACUAGGUCUAAAAUCCUGGAACAGAAAACAAACUAGUAAUCGUGCAACAGAUAGUGGACUGAAGAUAGUGUAUGUCAAAGUUGAAAUCAGACAAACUUUCAUCUAGUUCUUCCACUCAAGGUAGCUAGUUGGAC